This 651-nucleotide ribosomal RNA is filed under the name fungal endophyte. Its description in RNAcentral is "eukaryotic LSU rRNA". The stretch from base 191 to 344 matches the Rfam family "5.8S ribosomal RNA". Lineage: Eukaryota; Fungi. The record is from RNAcentral.
CGGAGGGAUCAUUAAAGAGUUCUAUAACUCCCAAACCCAUGUGAACAUACCUAACGUUGCCUCGGCAGGUCGCACCUACCUUGUAGCACCCUACCCUGUAGGGCCUACCCGGGAGGUGCGGGUAAGCCUGCCGGCGGCCCACCAAACUCUGUUUGAUAUUGAAUUCUGAACCUAUAACUAAAUAAGUUAAAACUUUCAACAACGGAUCUCUUGGUUCUGGCAUCGAUGAAGAACGCAGCGAAAUGCGAUAAGUAAUGUGAAUUGCAGAAUUCAGUGAAUCAUCGAAUCUUUGAACGCAUAUUGCGCCCAUUAGUAUUCUAGUGGGCAGGACCGUUCGAGCGUCAUUUCAACCCUUAAGCCUUCGUUGCUUAGUGUUGGGAGCCUACGGCAACGUAGCUCCUCAAAGUUAGUGGCGGAGUUGGUUCACACUCUAGACGUAGUAAUUUUUUAUCUCGCCUAUUAGUUGGACUAAUCCCCUGCCGUAAAACCCCCAAUUUAUCAAGGUUGACCUCGAAUCGGUUCAGACAAACUCGCUAAAUUGAAGCAUCUUAGUCAGCGAAGGAAAAGAAACCAACAGGGAUUGCCCUAGUAACGGCGAGUGAAGCGGCAACAGCUCAAAUUUGAAAUCUGGCCCUCGGGUCCGAGUUGUAA